GAUGAAGAACGUAGUGAAAUGCGAUAAGUAAUGCGAAUUGCAGAAUUCAGUGAGUCAUCGAAUCUUUGAACGCACAUUGCGCCCUGUGGUAUUCCGCAGGGCAUGCCUGUUCGAGCGUCAUUUCAACCCUCAAGCCCCGCUUGGUGUUGGGCCCCGCCCGCCGUGGCCGGCCCUAAAGACAGUGGCGGCGCCGCCUGGCCCUCAGCGUAGUACAGCUCUCGCUCCAGGGUUCGGCGGCCGCCUGCCAGAACCCCCCCAACUCUGUGGUUGACCUCGGAUCAGGUAGGGAUACCCGCUGAACUUAAGCAUAUCAAUAAGCGGAGGA
Molecule: unclassified non-coding RNA, 325 nt
Filed under: soil metagenome
Description: partial contains 5.8S ribosomal RNA, internal transcribed spacer 2, and large subunit ribosomal RNA
Rfam family: 5.8S ribosomal RNA (bases 1-120)
Source: RNAcentral